This 409-nucleotide unclassified non-coding RNA is filed under the name Hevea brasiliensis (rubber tree). Lineage: Eukaryota; Viridiplantae; Streptophyta; Magnoliopsida; Malpighiales; Euphorbiaceae. The record is from RNAcentral.
UCCUAUUCUAGCAACUAUGCCACACCAUCGCCAUAACGCACCUUCAUGUUAGCUAAACUUCAACAGUUUCUUUCCUUGCCAAUUUUGACGUCUUCCAUUUGAUUUUGAAGUCUGUUUGAAACAACUCCUAAAAGCUGAAUUUUGGCUCUUCUUUAGGUAAGGUAUGUUUCCUUAAUUCGAAUAUAUGGAAACUUAUAUUGAGGAGCUAGAAGAGGAGAUCAUUUACUAGAAAAAUGUUCUUGAAGAAAUUAAUUAUGACACUAGAUUUCAUAGGGUUCAAUUAUUUAUAGUCGUGAUCGUGAAAUGUGUUAUUUAUUAUAUGGUAAAUAUUGAGAAGUUAAACAAAUUUUGCUACAUAAAAAAAGAGACUAUGUAGAUUUACAAGAAUUCUUACAAGUUAAGGAAAGAG